AGGAUGAACGCUGGCGGCAUGCCUAACACAUGCAAGUCGAGCGAGAAGGUUCAACAGAUUCUUCGGAUGACGAUGGAACCGGAAAGCGGCGGACGGGUGAGUAACGCGUGGGUAACCUGCCCUAUGGAGGGGGAUAACACAGUGAAAACUGUGCUAAUACCGCAUAAGCGCACGGUGUCGCAUGACACAGUGUGAAAAACUCCGGUGCCAUAGGAUGGACCCGCGUCAGAUUAGCUAGUUGGUGAGAUAAAAGCUCACCAAGGCUACGAUGGGUAGCCGGCCUGAGAGGGUGGACGGCCACAUUGGGACUGAGAUACGGCCCAGACUCCUACGGGAGGCAGCAGUUAAGAAUCUUGCGCAAUGGGCGAAAGCCUGACGCAGCGACGCCGCGUGGACGAUGAAGGCCUUCGGGUUGUAAAGUCUGGUAAACAGGGAAGAAUAAGCAAAGGGUAAUAUUCUUUGUGAUGACGGUACCUGUCUAAAGCCCCGGCUAACUACGUGCCAGCAGCCGCGGUAAUACGUAUGGGGCAAGCGUUGUUCGGAAUUAUUGGGCGUAAAGGGCGUCUAGGCGGGGGAUUAAGUUGGAUGUGAAAGCCUUAGGCUCAACCUGAGAAUUGCAUCCAAAACUGGUUCUCUUGAGUUCGGGAGAGGAGAGCGGAAUUCCCGGUGUAGCGGUGAAAUGCGUAGAUAUCGGGAAGAACACCAGUGGCGAAGGCGGCUCUCUGGCCUAGGACUGACGCUGAAGCGCGAAAGCGUGGGGAGCGAACGGGAUUAGAUACCCCGGUAGUCCACGCCGUAAACGUUGUGUACUAGGUGUUAGUGGUUUAACCACUAGUGCCGACGCUAACGCAUUAAGUACACCGCCUGGGGAGUACGGCCGCAAGGCUUAAACUCAAAGAAAUUGACGGGGGCCCGCACAAGCGGUGGAGCAUGUGGUUUAAUUCGAUGAUACGCGAGGAACCUUACCUGGGCUUGAACUGUAUCUGACAGGUGUAGAGAUGCACCCUCCUUCGGGCAGGUACAGAGGUGCUGCAUGGUUGUCGUCAGCUCGUGUCGUGAGAUGUUGGGUUAAGUCCCGCAACGAGCGCAACCCCUACUCCUUGUUGCCAUCAGGUAAUGCUGAGCACUCUAGGGGAACUGCCGGUGACAAACCGGAGGAAGGUGGGGAUGACGUCAAAUCAUCACGGCCCUUAUGUCCAGGGCUACACACGUGCUACAAUGGUCGGUACAAUGAGUUGCGAUACCGCGAGGUGGAGCUAAUCUCAAAAAACCGGCCUCAGUUCAGAUUGCAGUCUGCAACUCGACUGCAUGAAGUUGGAAUCGCUAGUAAUCGCAGAUCAGCACGCUGCGGCGAAUACGUUCCCGGGCCUUGUACACACCGCCCGUCACACCACCCGAGUCGGCGGCACCCGAAGUGGCUGAUCUAACCCUU
Molecule: ribosomal RNA, 1432 nt
Filed under: uncultured organism
Description: bacterial SSU rRNA
Rfam family: Bacterial small subunit ribosomal RNA
Source: RNAcentral